GAACAGCUUGCUGAAUCAUGUCCUUAUCAAGAAAGACUAAUAUAACUUGAAACUUGAAAAAGAAAACAAUAAUUGCCAGGAACAAAGAAACAUACUCUUCUCCAGAAUUCCCAGGAACCAAACGUAUUCCUUCCAAUGUUUCAAAGAAAUCAGAAAUGUUUCCUUCUUAUAAUUUCAAACCAGGAAACGUUGGAACAAGUCUUAUAUUUAAAUCCAUUCAUCAAUUCAAAACCGUUCAAAGCAGAUUCGUUCAAAUAAUUUCGGGAACAGGUAUGUUAAGGCUAUCCUUUCUUUCUUUUGGCAUGGUCCUAAUUAUACUAAAGAAACGAGCAAAUACAAAGUUUUUAUAAAUUAUUCUAUUCAUAGAAAUAGUAGGGUUGUCUAUAUUCUUGAUUCCCCAUGAGAAUUAUUAUUAUCUUCUGUUCAUGGGUCUCAGAAUAAUACGCAGUUGGAAAAGUUUAUCCGAAAGGAAUAUCGAGAUUAUUAUGUGCUUUUCAUGCAUUUCACUCAUUUAUACAUGUACAUUGACCCAUGACCAGAUGACGUUAUAUACGCGUAUAUAUGUAAAUAUAUGUCUAUGGGAUAUGGGAAAAGUUUACGGCGUUAUAUACGCACCACCACCUGAUCAGCUGAUAUAUGUUGAUGAUGUUGACCACAGUGGCUGAAAUAUGAUUCAAACGGCGUUAUAUACGCGUAUAUAUGUAAAUAUAUGUAUAUGGGAUAUGGGAAAAGGUUAUGGCGUUAUAUAUGUACCACCAUCUAAUCAGCUGGUAUAUGUUGAUGAUGUUGCCCACAGUGGCUGAAAUAUGAUUCAAAUGGCAUUAUAUACACGUAUAUAUGUAUGUAUAUAUAUGUAUAUGAGAUAUGAGAAAGGUUAUGGCAUUAUAUACGCACCACCACCUGAUCAGCUGGUAUACGAUAAUGAUUUUGCCCACAGUGGCCGAUAUGAUAUGAUGGGAUGCCCUCAGAGGCUGAUGAUGUUAUGAAACAUGUACCUAUGCACGACAUGACAUUCAUACGCAUAUGCAUGAUACUAAAAGUAAUUUAUGAUUUACAAAGUUAUUCCGACUUACAGGUUGAGUCAUGUACUCUAUAUUUCUUCCAUGUCUCUUAUGUACUUAUUUAUGUGUCUUACAUACUCAGUACAUUAUUUGUACUGAUGUCCCUUUUGCCUGGAGACGCUGCGUUUCAUGCCUGCAGGUCUCGAUAGACAGGUCGAGAGCCCUCAAAGUAGGCUAUCAGCUCAGCGGAAGAUGUUGGUGCGCUCUAUUUGCUUCGGAGUUUUUUGUUUGGUUAAUAUGGUUUAGACGUGUAUUAUUUGGUAUGGCUGGACUCUCUCCCGACCUUUAUGACAUAUAUGUACUCUCAGAGGCUUGUAGACAUAUGUCGUAUACGUGAAAGAUUGUAUGGCCUUGUCGGCCUAUGUUUUGGGUUUAUAAAUGAUUAUAUUGGCCUAUUAGGCCCGUAUGUCACGCGUAUAUGAUGAUGUAAUAAGAAAGAUAUGUUACGUUGGUACUCGGUCGAGUAAGGUACCGGGUGCCCAUCGCGGCCUAUCGAUUUGGGCCAUGACAAAAGUGGUAUCAGAGCAGUUCUAUCCUAGGGAGUCUACAAGUCAUG
Molecule: long non-coding RNA, 1617 nt
Filed under: Nicotiana tabacum (common tobacco)
Lineage: Eukaryota; Viridiplantae; Streptophyta; Magnoliopsida; Solanales; Solanaceae
Description: long non-coding RNA (NTAB_LNC007222)
Source: RNAcentral